This 1021-nucleotide ribosomal RNA is filed under the name Oenococcus oeni. RNAcentral's name for it is "bacterial LSU rRNA". It matches the Rfam family "Bacterial large subunit ribosomal RNA", at positions 1904 to 2925 of the family's 2925-position model. The record is from RNAcentral. Lineage: Bacteria; Bacillati; Bacillota; Bacilli; Lactobacillales; Lactobacillaceae.
GGUCUUAAUUGAAGCCCCAGUGAACGGCGGCCGUAACUAUAACGGUCCUAAGGUAGCGAAAUUCCUUGUCGGGUAAGUUCCGACCCGCAUGAAAGGCGUAAUGAUUUGGGCGCUGUCUCAACAAUAGACUCGGUGAAAUUUAAAUUCCAGUGAAGAUGCUGGGUACCCGCGACAGGACGGAAAGACCCCGUGGAGCUUUACUGUAGCUUGAUAUUGAAUGUUUGUGCUGCAUGUGCAGGAUAGGUAGGAGACUUUGAAGUCGGAACGCUAGUUUCGAUUGAGUCACCCUUGAGAUACUACCUCUGUUGUAUGAACGUUCUAACUCUGAUCAGUUAUCCUGAUCGAAGACAGUGUCUGGCAGGCAGUUUGACUGGGGCGGUCGCCUCCUAAAAGAUAACGGAGGCGCUCAAAGGUUUGCUCAGAAUGGUUGGAAAUCAUUCGUAGCGUGUAAAGGCAUAAGCAAGCUUGACUGUGAGACUGACAAGUCGAGCAGGUACGAAAGUAGGACUUAGUGAUCCGGUGGUUCCGUAUGGAAGGGCCAUCGCUCAACGGACAAAAGCUACCCCGGGGAUAACAGGCUCAUCUCCCCCAAGAGUCCACAUCGACGGGGAGGUUUGGCACCUCGAUGUCGGCUCAUCGCAUCCUGGGGCUGUAGUCGGUCCCAAGGGUUGGGCUGUUCGCCCAUUAAAGCGGUACGCGAGCUGGGUUCAGAACGUCGUGAGACAGUUCGGUCCCUAUCCGUCGUGGGCGCAGGAAAUUUGAGAGGAUCUGUCCUUAGUACGAGAGGACCGGGAUGGACAUACCUCUGGUGUACCAGUUGUUCUGCCAAGAGCACCGCUGGGUAGCUACGUAUGGAUUAGAUAAUCGCUGAAAGCAUCUAAGUGAGAAACUAACCUCGAGAUGAGAUUUCCCAUUCGUCAGAAGUAAGACCCCUGAGAGACGAUCAGGUAGAUAGGCUAGAAGUGGAAGUGUAGUGAUGCAUGGAGCGGACUAGUACUAAUAGGUCGAGGACUUAACCAAG